This 468-nucleotide ribosomal RNA is filed under the name uncultured bacterium. RNAcentral's name for it is "partial 16S ribosomal RNA". The stretch from base 12 to 374 matches the Rfam family "Bacterial small subunit ribosomal RNA", at positions 39 to 400 of the family's 1533-position model. The record is from RNAcentral.
GACGAACGCUGGCGGCGUGCUUAACACAUGCAAGUCGAACGGAAAGGCCCUGCUUUUGUGGGGUGCUCGAGUGGCGAACGGGUGAGUAACACGUGAGUAACCUGCCCUUGACUUUGGGAUAACUUCAGGAAACUGGGGCUAAUACCGGAUAGGAGCUCCUGCUGCAUGGUGGGGGUUGGAAAGUUUCGGCGGUUGGGGAUGGACUCGCGGCUUAUCAGCUUGUUGGUGGGGUAGUGGCUUACCAAGGCUUUGACGGGUAGCCGGCCUGAGAGGGUGACCGGGGAAAUUGGGAGGGAGAGAGGGGCGAGGGGCCAACGGGAGGAAGAAGUGGGGAAGAGUGAAGAAAGGGCGGAAGCCUGAGGCAGCAUUGCAGCGUGGGGGAGAAGGGAGGUGGGGGUGUAAAGCGAUGACGAAUGGGAAGAAGAGGGAGGGAAGGGAAGGGGGAAAGAAGCAACGGAUAAAUAAGGG